UGGGGAAUCUUCCGCAAUGGACGAAAGUCUGACGGAGCAACGCCGCGUGAGUGAUAACGGCCUUCGGGUUGUAAAGCUCUGUUAAUCGGGACGAAUGGUUCUUGUGCGAAUAGUGCGAGGAUUUGACGGUACCGGAAUAGAAAGCCACGGCUAACUACGUGCCAGCAGCCGCGGUAAUACGUAGGUGGCAAGCGUUGUCCGGAAUUAUUGGGCGUAAAGCGCGCGCAGGCGGAUUGGUCAGUCUGUCUUAAAAGUUCGGGGCUUAACCCCGUGAUGGGAUGGAAACUGCCAAUCUAGAGUAUCGGAGAGGAAAGUGGAAUUCCUAGUGUAGCGGUGAAAUGCGUAGAUAUUAGGAAGAACACCAGUGGCGAAGGCGACUUUCUGGACGAAAACUGACGCUGAGGCGCGAAAGCCAGGGGAGCGAACGGG
This 429-nucleotide ribosomal RNA is filed under the name bacterium. RNAcentral's name for it is "partial 16S ribosomal RNA". It matches the Rfam family "Bacterial small subunit ribosomal RNA", at positions 355 to 776 of the family's 1533-position model. The record is from RNAcentral.